CACACACACACACACACACACCUCUAUGAACUUGUGUGGCAUAAAAAAGUGGACAGCAAGGAAGUUGUUUGUCUGGAAACAAGACAAAAAACAAUAUCUAUAUAAUUCUAAUAAUUUUUUCAAUGUUAUCAACUGCAUAGUCUUCUACUGACUGACUGACUAUGUGUGUGUUUUUUAGUGUUGAGCAUGGAGGAGAAUCCAGGAUUACAGCAGGACUCAAGAAAUAUGCCAUCAGUGCUGCCAACCCGAGAGUGAUAGAUGACGCCCGGCCUCGAAAACUGUCCAACGACCUGAAACGCUCCACGUAUUACGAAACCUGCUCCACCUACGGUCUUAGCGUCGAGAGAGUCUUUCAAGACGGAUGGCCGUGAGACUUUUAUCUCCUCAUCUGUGCACGAGAGCUGUGUUUUUCCAGCUGGAAUAUCACUGGCACUCCCUGUUCACUGAUAGCGCUCUCUUCCGCCCACCGCCGUCAUGUGGCAUGAAUGCACGGCAGAGUAAGCUACCCACACAUCUCUUUUGUGUCCCUCUAUCCACCUAGAAAUGCACAUUACAUAAGUAUUUAUCUGCUGUGGCCGCUCUGUAUAUCCGUGAGAGGCUGGGUCCCCCCGGUUCCAGCAGCUUUAUUGCUCCGCGCUCUCCGAUAUCACAGUUGUCACGAUGGAUUUCUCUCGGCGUUGACGGUUGCCGUUUGCUCCUGCGUGUAAUUGCCUCCUCGGGGCUGCGUUUGUAAUAAUUAAAAGACAGAGGCGCGCUUGUUGUCUCUUUGAAAACGCGGACGGAUCCACACCGUCUCCACUUUGCUUUGUUUCGCACGAAAUGUAAAA
Molecule: long non-coding RNA, 827 nt
Organism: Puntigrus tetrazona (Sumatra barb)
Lineage: Eukaryota; Metazoa; Chordata; Actinopteri; Cypriniformes; Cyprinidae
Exons: 3
Source: RefSeq, a predicted model, not a curated record